UUAGGAAUCUUCCACAAUGGGCGAAAGCCUGAUGGAGCGACGCCGCGUGAGGGAUGAAGGCCUUAGGGUUGUAAACCUCUAAAAGAGGGACGAUAAUGACGGUACCUCUUGAAUAGCACCGGCUAACUCCGUGCCAGCAGCCGCGGUAAUACGGAGGGUGCAAGCGUUAUCCGGAAUUACUGGGCGUAAAGGGUGCGUAGGCGGUCUGUUAAGUCCGAUGUUAAAUCCCGGGGCUCAACCCCGGAUAAGCGUUGGAUACUGGCAGGCUAGACGGUUGGAGAGGCGAGUGGAAUUACCAGUGUAGCGGUGGAAUGCGUAGAUACUGGUAGGAACACCCAUUGCGAAGGCAGCUCGCUGGACAACACGUGACGCUGAGGCGCGAAAGUGUGGGGAGCAAACC
This 400-nucleotide ribosomal RNA is filed under the name uncultured bacterium. Its description in RNAcentral is "bacterial SSU rRNA". It matches the Rfam family "Bacterial small subunit ribosomal RNA", at positions 355 to 774 of the family's 1533-position model. The record is from RNAcentral.